GCUGGGCAUGGUGGCGCACACCUGUAAUCCCAGAGGCCCAGGAGGCUGAGACAGGAGGAUUGCUAGUUCAAAGCUACUCAGCAAGACCCUGUCUCUA
This 97-nucleotide small RNA is filed under the name Marmota monax (woodchuck). The record is from RNAcentral. Lineage: Eukaryota; Metazoa; Chordata; Mammalia; Rodentia; Sciuridae.